Molecule: long non-coding RNA, 540 nt
Organism: Felis catus (domestic cat)
Lineage: Eukaryota; Metazoa; Chordata; Mammalia; Carnivora; Felidae
Exons: 3
Source: RefSeq, a predicted model, not a curated record
GCCUUGUGACUGCUUGGGAACUCCCUGACAGCCAUAUCAUAUCAAUCCUUCUUUAGAUUGCAAGGCAAUGUAAGUCAGUUCUCCCCCAGAGUGCCUUCCCCCUUUCCGUUGCUCAGUGCCAGACCCACAUUAUGGUUCGAAGCCAGGCUCCCCCACUCUCUUCUGGCUCCCUCCAAGUUUGCUCUCUCUGAUGCCUCCCCUAAUAAAUUUCUCCUAUCUUUUAUCAUCUCACAUCUGCUCCUGGGAGGACUCAGACGAACCUGUUCUCCCCAUUCGACUAUGAGCUCCAUAAAGUGGAGAUCCAGGUCUGGCCUGUUGAUCCCUGAUCCUUUAAUGCCUGGCAUGAGGCCCUGUCUAGCAGGAAGGCAGAUUUUUCACCUGAAAUCGCUGACCAGGUGACCACAUCAGCUAAGCUCAACCCUGCAGUCAUCCCAUCCCAGGUGCCAGAGAGUGAGUGAAGAAGCCUCCAGAAGACUCCUGCCAUGCUCUGUCUGAAUUUCUCACCUAUGAAUUUAUGAGUGUAAAAAAUAAAUUGACAAA